This 301-nucleotide ribosomal RNA is filed under the name uncultured bacterium. Its description in RNAcentral is "partial 16S ribosomal RNA". It matches the Rfam family "Bacterial small subunit ribosomal RNA", at positions 509 to 807 of the family's 1533-position model. The record is from RNAcentral.
CAGCCGCCACGGUAAUACGGAGGGGGCUAGCGUUGUUCGGAAUUACUGGGCGUAAAGCGCACGUAGGCGGCUUGGUAAGUUAGAGGUGAAAGCCCGGAGCUCAACUCCGGAAUUGCCUUUAAGACUGCCGAGCUAGUAGGUGAGAGAGGUAAGUGGAAUUCCGAGUGUAGAGGUGAAAUUCGUAGAUAUUCGGAAGAACACCAGUGGCGAAGGCGGCUUACUGGCUCAUUCUAGACGCUGAGGUGCGAAAGCGUGGGGAGCAAACAGGAUUAGAUACCCGCGUAGUCCCUGUCUCUUAUAC